Molecule: ribosomal RNA, 272 nt
Filed under: uncultured Staphylococcus sp.
Lineage: Bacteria; Bacillati; Bacillota; Bacilli; Caryophanales; Staphylococcaceae
Description: partial 16S ribosomal RNA
Rfam family: Bacterial small subunit ribosomal RNA
Source: RNAcentral
ACGUUAGCGGCGGACGGGUGAGUAACACGUGGGUAACCUACCUAUAAGACUGGGAUAACUUCGGGAAACCGGAGCUAAUACCGGAUAAUAUUUCGAACCGCAUGGUUCGAUAGUGAAAGAUGGUUUUGCUAUCACUUAUAGAUGGACCCGCGCCGUAUUAGCUAGUUGGUAAGGUAACGGCUUACCAAGCGACGAUACGUAGCCGACCUGAGAGGGUGAUCGGCCACACUGGAACUGAGACACGGUCCAGACUCCUACGGGAGGCAGCAGGC